Long non-coding RNA from Sinocyclocheilus rhinocerous, 173 nucleotides. RefSeq lists it as uncharacterized. The record is from RefSeq and is a predicted model, not a curated record. The transcript is spliced from 3 exons. Lineage: Eukaryota; Metazoa; Chordata; Actinopteri; Cypriniformes; Cyprinidae.
CAAGAUUUUAGCAAAGAUGGAGCAGAUACUGGAGGAGAAGGGUUUGACACAACAUGCUAAACUUUCAUGGAGAACCCAGUCCAUUGGGAAUGUCUUCCAAAAGCGCACUAGUACAGGGAUGCCACAAAACAGACUUGAGGUUACACAUAACUAACUGAACAUAGAACGCAGCA